This 794-nucleotide ribosomal RNA is filed under the name uncultured bacterium. RNAcentral describes it as "bacterial SSU rRNA". It matches the Rfam family "Bacterial small subunit ribosomal RNA", at positions 560 to 1352 of the family's 1533-position model. The record is from RNAcentral.
GUAAAGAGCUCGUAGGUGGUUUGUCGCGUUGUUCGUGAAAUCUCACGGCUUAACUGUGAGCGUGCGGGCGAUACGGGCAGACUUGAGUACUGCAGGGGAGACUGGAAUUCCUGGUGUAGCGGUGGAAUGCGCAGAUAUCAGGAGGAACACCGGUGGCGAAGGCGGGUCUCUGGGCAGUAACUGACGCUGAGGAGCGAAAGCGUGGGGAGCGAACAGGAUUAGAUACCCUGGUAGUCCACGCCGUAAGCGGUGGGUACUAGGUGUGGGUUUCCUUCCUUGGGAUCCGUGCCGUAGCUAACGCAUUAAGUACCCCGCCUGGGGAGUACGGCCGCAAGGCUAAAACUCAAAGAAAUUGACGGGGGCCCGCACAAGCGGCGGAGCAUGUGGAUUAAUUCGAUGCAACGCGAAGAACCUUACCUGGGUUUGACAUGCACAGGACGCCGGCAGAGAUGUCGGUUCCCUUGUGGCCUGUGUGCAGGUGGUGCAUGGCUGUCGUCAGCUCGUGUCGUGAGAUGUUGGGUUAAGUCCCGCAACGAGCGCAACCCUUGUCUCAUGUUGCCAGCGGGUAAUGCCGGGGACUCGUGAGAGACUGCCGGGGUCAACUCGGAGGAAGGUGGGGAUGACGUCAAGUCAUCAUGCCCCUUAUGUCCAGGGCUUCACACAUGCUACAAUGGCCGGUACAAAGGGCUGCGAUGCCGCGAGGUUAAGCGAAUCCUUUUAAAGCCGGUCUCAGUUCGGAUCGGGGUCUGCAACUCGACCCCGUGAAGUCGGAGUCGCUAGUAAUCGCAGAUCAG